This 500-nucleotide ribosomal RNA is filed under the name uncultured diatom. RNAcentral's name for it is "SSU rRNA". It matches the Rfam family "Eukaryotic small subunit ribosomal RNA", at positions 451 to 961 of the family's 1831-position model. The record is from RNAcentral. Lineage: Eukaryota; Bacillariophyta.
CUGACACAGGGAGGUAGUGACAAUAAAUAACAAUGCCGGGGCCUUGCGCUCUGGCAAUUGGAAUGAGAACAAUUUAAAUCCCUUAUCGAGGAUCAAUUGGAGGGCAAGUCUGGUGCCAGCAGCCGCGGUAAUUCCAGCUCCAAUAGCGUAUAUUUUUGUUGUUGCAGUUAAAAAGCUCGUAGUUGAAUUUCUGGUGGGAGAAUGUGGUGCAACGUAGUUGCUACUGGCAGCCUCCGGCCAUCCUUGGGUUUAGCCAUUCUGGCAUUAAGUUGUCGGGGUGGGAUGCCCAUCGUUUACUGUGAAAAAAUUGAGUGUUCAAAGCAGACUUAUGUCGUUGAAUAUAUUAGCAUGGAAUAAUAAGAUAGGACUACAGUGCUAUUUUGUUGGUUUGCGCACCGUGGUAAUGAUGAAUAGGGACAGUUGUGGGUAUUCGUAUUCACUUGUAAGAGGUGAAAUUCUUAGAUUAAGGGAAGACGAACUACUGCGAAAGCAUUUACCAA